This 497-nucleotide ribosomal RNA is filed under the name uncultured bacterium. RNAcentral's name for it is "partial 16S ribosomal RNA". It matches the Rfam family "Bacterial small subunit ribosomal RNA", at positions 28 to 507 of the family's 1533-position model. The record is from RNAcentral.
GAUGAACGCUGGCGGCGUGCCUAAUACAUGCAAGUCGAGCGAACAGACGAGGAGCUUGCUCCUCUGACGUUAGCGGCGGACGGGUGAGUAACACGUGGAUAACCUACCUAUAAGACUGGGAUAACUUCGGGAAACCGGAGCUAAUACCGGAUAAUAUAUUGAACCGCAUGGUUCAAUAGUGAAAGACGGUUUUGCUGUCACUUAUAGAUGGAUCCGCGCCGCAUUAGCUAGUUGGUAAGGUAACGGCUUACCAAGGCAACGAUGCGUAGCCGACCUGUGAGGGUGAACGGCCACACAGGAACUGAGACACGGUCCAGACUCCUACGGGAGGCAGCAGGAGGGAAUCUUCCGCAAUGGGCGAAAGCCUGACGGAGCAACGCCGCGUGAGUGAUGAAGGUCUUCGGAUCGUAAAACUCUGUUAUUAGGGAAGAACAAAUGUGUAAGUAACUAUGCACGUCUUGACGGUACCUAAUCAGAAAGCCACGGCUAACUACGUG